This is a long non-coding RNA of Sinocyclocheilus rhinocerous, 228 nucleotides long. RefSeq lists it as uncharacterized. The record is from RefSeq and is a predicted model, not a curated record. The transcript is spliced from 3 exons. NCBI's taxonomy places the organism in Eukaryota, Metazoa, Chordata, Actinopteri, Cypriniformes, Cyprinidae.
AACAAGUCUGGGCCCUAAGGGCAUGGAUAAAAUGAUUCAGGAUGGAAAGGGAGACGUCACCAUCACUAAUGAUGGAGCCACUAUCCUCAAACAGAUGCAGGUGCUGCAUCCUGCGGCCAAAAUGAUGGUGGAGCUGUCUAAAGCUCAGGAUAUUGAGGCUGGCGACGGCACUACAUCAGUGGUGGUGAUUGCUGGAGCUCUUCUUGAUGCCUGCGCUAAACUGCUACA